Molecule: transfer RNA, 69 nt
Filed under: Microlophus koepckeorum
Lineage: Eukaryota; Metazoa; Chordata; Lepidosauria; Squamata; Tropiduridae
Description: tRNA-Ala
Rfam family: tRNA
About the family: Transfer RNA (tRNA) molecules are approximately 80 nucleotides in length. Their secondary structure includes four short double-helical elements and three loops (D, anti-codon, and T loops).
Source: RNAcentral
GAGGCUUUAGCUUAAGUUAAAGUAUCUGAGUUGCAAUCAGGGGAUGCGUUUAAGAUUUCGCAAGUCUUG